AUUGAACGCUGGCGGCAGGCUUAACACAUGCAAGUCGAACGGUAACAUAAAGGAGCUUGCUUCUUUGAUGACGAGUGGCGGACGGGUGAGUAAUGCUUGUGAAUCUAGCUUAUGGAGGGGGAUAACUACGGGAAACUGUAGCUAAUACCGCGUAGAAUCGGGAGAUGAAAGUGUGGGACCUUCGGGCCACAUGCCAUAGGAUGAGCCCAAGUGGGAUUAGGUAGUUGGUGAGGUAAAGGCUCACCAAGGCGACGAUCUCUAGCUGGUCUGAGAGGAUGACCGGCCACACUGGAACUGAGACACGGCCCAGACUCCUACGGGAGGCAGCAGUGGGGAAUAUUGCGCAAUGGGGGAAACCCUGACGCAGCCAUGCCGCGUGAAUGAAGAAGGCCUUCGGGUUGUAAAGUUCUUUCGGUAGCGAGGAAGGCAUUUAGUUUAAUAGACUAGGUGAUUGACGUUAACUACAGAAGAAGCACCGGCUAACUCCGUG
Molecule: ribosomal RNA, 490 nt
Filed under: uncultured bacterium
Lineage: Bacteria
Description: partial 16S ribosomal RNA
Rfam family: Bacterial small subunit ribosomal RNA
Source: RNAcentral